Molecule: ribosomal RNA, 3059 nt
Filed under: Gammaproteobacteria bacterium
Lineage: Bacteria; Pseudomonadati; Pseudomonadota; Gammaproteobacteria
Description: 23S ribosomal RNA
Rfam family: Bacterial large subunit ribosomal RNA
Source: RNAcentral
GGUCAAGCAAAUAAGCGCACACGGUGGAUGCCUUGGCGAUAAGAGGCGAUGAAGGACGUGGUAGUCUGCGAUAAGCCUCGGCGAGCUGACAAACUAGCUUUGACCCGGGGAUUUCCGAAUGGGGAAACCCACCCGCUUUGCGGGUAUCUUGCGCUGAAUACAUAGGCGCAAGAGGCGAACCCGGGGAACUGAAACAUCUAAGUACCCGGAGGAAAAGAAAUCAACCGAGAUUCCCCCAGUAGCGGCGAGCGAACGGGGAACAGCCCUUAAGCUUUGCAAGUUCUAGUGGAAUGUUCUGGAAAGUUCGGCCAUAGACGGUGACAGCCCCGUACACGAAAGGGCUUGCAAAAGUGAAAUCGAGUAGGACGGAGCACGAGAAACUUUGUCUGAACAUGGGGGGACCAUCCUCCAAGGCUAAAUACUCCUUAUCGACCGAUAGUGAACCAGUACCGUGAGGGAAAGGCGAAAAGAACCCCUGUUAGGGGAGUGAAACAGAACCUGAAACCGUGUGCGUACAAGCAGUGGGAGCCCGUUUUCGAACGGGUGACUGCGUACCUUUUGUAUAAUGGGUCAGCGACUUACAUUUUGUAGCAAGGUUAACCGCAUAGGGGAGCCGCAGAGAAAUCGAGUCUUAAUAGGGCGCUUAGUUGCAGGAUGUAGACCCGAAACCGGGCGAUCUAGCCAUGGCCAGGUUGAAGGUCGGGUAAUGCCGACUGGAGGACCGAACCAACUUAUGUUGAAAAAUGAGUGGAUGAGCUGUGGCUAGGAGUGAAAGGCUAACCAAGCCCGGAGAUAGCUGGUUCUCCCCGAAAACUAUUUAGGUAGUGCCUCGUGUUUCACUUCCGGGGGUAGAGCACUGUAAUGGCUAGGGCCGCAUCUCGCGGUACCAACCCAUUGCAAACUCCGAAUACCGGAAAGUGCAAUCACGGGAGACAGACGGCGGGAGAUAAGUUUCGUCGUCGAAAGGGAAACAGCCCAGACCGCCGGCUAAGGUCCCCAAACACGUCUCAGUGGGAAACGAUGUGGGAAGUCUCAGACAGCCAGGAUGUUGGCUUAGAAGCAGCCAUCAUUUAAAGAAAGCGUAACAGCUCACUGGUCGAGUCGUCCUGCGCGGAAGAUAUACCGGGGCUCAAGACGUGUACCGAAGCCGCGGGUGCNNNNNNNNNNNNNNNNNNNNNNNNNNNNNNNNNNNNNNNNNNNNNNNNNNNNNNNNNNNNNNNNNNNNNNNNNNNNNNNNNNNNNNNNNNNNNNNNNNNNCGUCCUGCGCGGAAGAUAUACCGGGGCUCAAGACGUGUACCGAAGCCGCGGGUGCGUGCAUUCUUCGGAGUGCGCGCACGGUAGGGGAGCGUUCCGUAGCCCGUUGAAGGCGUGCCGUGAGGCAUGCUGGAGGCAUCGGAAGUGAGAAUGCUGACAUGAGUAGCGACAAUGCGGGUGAGAGGCCCGCACGCCGAAAGCCCAAGGUUUCCUGCGCAACGCUAAUCGGCGCAGGGUGAGUCGACCCCUAAGGCGAGGCCGAAAGGCGUAGUCGAUGGGAAUCAGGUUAAUAUUCCUGAACCGAAUAUAACUGCGACGGGGUGACGGAGAAGGCUAGGUCGGCCGGGUGUCGGAUAUCCCGGUUUAAGCGUGUAGGUUGGGAGCCCAGGAAAAUCCGGGCUUCCUUAAGACUGAGACGUGACGACGAGCGCCCUAACGGGCGCGAAGCGAUUGAUGCCAUGCUUCCAGGAAAACCCUCUAAGCUUCAGGUUGUAUUCGAUCGUACCCCAAACCGACACAGGUGGGCGGGGAGAGAAUCCCAAGGCGUUGAGAGAACUCUGGUGAAGGAACUCGGCAAAAUGACACCGUAACUUCGGGAGAAGGUGUGCCUCCGGUAGGUGAAGGGCUUCGCGCCCGGAGCCGAUGGGGGUUGCAACAAAGAGGUGGCUGCGACUGUUUACUAAAAACAUAGCACUCUGCAAACUCGCAAGAGGAAGUAUAGGGUGUGACGCCUGCCCGGUGCCGGAAGGUUAAGUGAUGGGGUUAGCCCUUGGGCGAAGCUCUUGAUCGAAGCCCCGGUGAACGGCGGCCGUAACUAUAACGGUCCUAAGGUAGCGAAAUUCCUUGUCGGGUAAGUUCCGACCUGCACGAAUGGCGUAACGAUGGCCACACUGUCUCCACCAGAGGCUCAGCGAAAUUGAACUCGCUGUGAAGAUGCAGCGUACCCGCGGCUAGACGGAAAGACCCCGUGAACCUUUACUACAGCUUCACACUGGACUUUGAGCACGCAUGUGCAGGAUAGGUGGAAGGCUUUGAAGCGGAGACGCCAGUCUUCGUGGAGCCAACCUUGAGAUACCACCCUUGCUUGUUUGGGGCCCUAACCGAGGCCCGUGAUCCGGGUCCGGGACCAUGUGUGGCGGGUAGUUUGACUGGGGCGGUCUCCUCCCAAAGAGUAACGGAGGAGCGCGAAGGUGCUCUAAGUGCGGUCGGAAAUCGCACGGCUAGUGCAAAGGCACAAGAGCGCUUGACUGCGAGACAGACACGUCGAGCAGGUGCGAAAGCAGGUCUUAGUGAUCCGGUGGUUCUGUAUGGAAGGGCCAUCGCUCAACGGAUAAAAGGUACUCCGGGGAUAACAGGCUGAUACCGCCCAAGAGUUCACAUCGACGGCGGUGUUUGGCACCUCGAUGUCGGCUCAUCACAUCCUGGGGCUGUAGCCGGUCCCAAGGGUAUGGCUGUUCGCCAUUUAAAGUGGUACGCGAGCUGGGUUUAGAACGUCGUGAGACAGUUUGGUCCCUAUCUGCCGUGGGCGCCGGAGACUUGAGAGGAGCUGCUCCCAGUACGAGAGGACCGGAGUGGACGUACCUCUGGUGUUCCGGUUGUGAUGCCAAUCGCAUUGCCGGGUAGCUAUGUACGGACGGGAUAACCGCUGAAAGCAUCUAAGCGGGAAGCCCCCCUCGAGAUUAGGUCUCCCCGGGGCCUUGCGCCCCCUGAAGGGUCGUUGAAGACUACAACGUUGAUAGGCUGGGUGUGGAAGUUCAGCAAUGAAUGAAGCUAACCAGUACUAAUUGCCCGUGCGGCUUGACCAU